AUACGAAGGGUGCAAGCGUUAAUCGGAAUUACUGGGCGUAAAGCGCGCGUAGGUGGUUUGGUAAGUCAGAUGUGAAAGCCCUAGGCUCAACCUGGGAAUUGCAUUUGAAACUGCCCGGCUAGAGUAUGGUAGAGGUAAGUGGAAUUCCAGGUGUAGCGGUGAAAUGCGUAGAUAUCUGGAGGAACAUCAGUGGCGAAGGCGACUUACUGGACCAAUACUGACACUGAGGUGCGAAAGCGUGGGGAGCAAACAGGAUUAGAAACCCCAGUAGUCC
Molecule: ribosomal RNA, 274 nt
Filed under: uncultured bacterium
Lineage: Bacteria
Description: partial 16S ribosomal RNA
Rfam family: Bacterial small subunit ribosomal RNA
Source: RNAcentral